AUUGAACGCUGGCGGCAGGCCUAACACAUGCAAGUCGAGCGGUAGCACAGAGAGCUUGCUCUCGGGUGACGAGCGGCGGACGGGUGAGGACUGUCUGGGAAACUGCCUGAUGGAGGGGGAUAACUACUGGAAACGGUAGCUAAUACCGCAUAACGUCGCAAGACCAAAGUGGGGGACCUUCGGGCCUCAUGCCACCAGAUGUGCCCAGAUGGGAUUAGCUAGUAGGUGGGGUAACGGCUCACCUAGGCGACGAUCCCUAGCUGGUCUGAGAGGAUGACCAGCCACACUGGAACUGAGACACGGUCCAGACUCCUACGGGAGGCAGCAGUGGGGAAUAUUGCACAAUGGGCGCAAGCCUGAUGCAGCCAUGCCGCGUGUGUGAAGAAGGCCUUCGGGUUGUAAAGCACUUUCAGCGGGGAGGAAGGCGGUGAGGUUAAUAACCUCAUCGAUUGACGUUACCCGCAGAAGAAGCACCGGCUAACUCCGUGCCAGCCGCCGCGGUAA
RNAcentral lists this ribosomal RNA (504 nucleotides) under uncultured bacterium. Its description in RNAcentral is "partial 16S ribosomal RNA". It matches the Rfam family "Bacterial small subunit ribosomal RNA", at positions 29 to 523 of the family's 1533-position model. The record is from RNAcentral.